UUAAAGAGUUCUAUAACUCCCAAACCCAUGUGAACAUACCUAACGUUGCCUCGGCAGGUCGCACCUACCUUGUAGCACCCUACCCUGUAGGGCCUACCCGGGAGGUGCGGGUAAGCCUGCCGGCGGCCCACCAAACUCUGUUUGAUAUUGAAUUCUGAAUCUAUAACUAAAUAAGUUAAAACUUUCAACAACGGAUCUCUUGGUUCUGGCAUCGAUGAAGAACGCAGCGAAAUGCGAUAAGUAAUGUGAAUUGCAGAAUUCAGUGAAUCAUCGAAUCUUUGAACGCAUAUUGCGCCCAUUAGUAUUCUAGUGGGCAGGACCGUUCGAGCGUCAUUUCAACCCUUAAGCCUUCGUUGCUUAGUGUUGGGAGCCUAUGGCAACGUAGCUCCUCAAAGUUAGUGGCGGAGUUGGUUCACACUCUAGACGUAGUAAUUUUUUAUCUCGCCUAUUAGUUGGACUAAUCCCCUGCCGUAAAACCCCCAAUUUAUAUCAAGGUUGACCUCGAAUCGGUUCAGACAAACUCGCUAAAUUGAAGCAUCUUAGUCAGCGAAGGAAAAGAAACCAACAGGGAUUGCCCUAGUAACGGCGAGUGAAGCGGCAACAGCUCAA
RNAcentral lists this ribosomal RNA (609 nucleotides) under fungal endophyte. Its description in RNAcentral is "eukaryotic LSU rRNA". The stretch from base 180 to 333 matches the Rfam family "5.8S ribosomal RNA". The record is from RNAcentral. Lineage: Eukaryota; Fungi.